CUAAAUACCUAAAACACAAAAGAACGUGGUUCUCUUCUGGUUCAUCCCCAAAACCAAAUCCCAAAGCCGACAAUGGAUCGCGAUCUCGAACAAGAGAUAUGUUCCCUCGAGGAUUCAGGAAGAAAGGUACCAUCCAUCUCUCCACCUACCUUCGAAGCUUGGGCGCAAAUUAACGAUGCAGAAGACCAAGGAUAUGCAAGAUAUGAGAAACUGUUAUGAUGGAUUAUAAUCAGCAGCUGCCGCAACCGCAAAUAGUAUAUAUGGAACGUCACGAAACGCGCCAUUAGCGUCGAGAUGAACAAACAGCCAAACAGGUAUCACUUUAGUUUCUUUAGAUUUAGGCAAACAAGAAUGCUGUGUCCGGUGACAGCAGUGCUUUGGCCCUGGGAGGUGUUCGUAUCGGUAUAAAUGGUGUUUUUUAAGUUUUUUAUUCGAUUUUAAUUUUAUUUUUUGUGUGUUUUGAUUGAAUAUAAAUGGUUUUUGGUUAGGUACACAUGCUAUGAACUCAAGGGGUUUAGUUGAGAAAAGGAGGCGUAAAUAGAGAGGAUGGGUCAAUAAUGGAAGAGGCGUAAACAAAGAGAAUGGGUUAAUAAUGGAAGAGAUUGUGGCGACCCGCUUUGGCUGGAUUAAUAGCAGGUGCAAGGAGUUGAAAUGUGGCUGGGAAGUUUGGAAGAUAGAUCCUUGUAACAGUUUUUUUUUUUUUUUUUUUUUUUUGUAACAUGUAGGCUGUGUGUUUUUUAGCCUUACUGCAGUGUCGUUUUGUUUUUUUUCUUCUGAUUCCAGCACUUCGCUGGUCUUCCUUUUUAAUAACAUGUUGUUGUUCUCGAGACUCUUGUACUAUAUCUUGUAUACUAUGAAGUGGUUAUCUUAUAUAA
This is a long non-coding RNA of Helianthus annuus (common sunflower), 875 nucleotides long. RefSeq lists it as uncharacterized. NCBI's taxonomy places the organism in Eukaryota, Viridiplantae, Streptophyta, Magnoliopsida, Asterales, Asteraceae. The record is from RefSeq and is a predicted model, not a curated record. The transcript is spliced from 2 exons.